AUAAGACGAGAAGACCCUAUGGAGCUUUAGACACCAGAGCAGACCAUGUUAAACACCCCCGAUAAGGGACUAAACCAAAUGGGACCUGCCCCAAUGUCUUUGGUUGGGGCGACCGCGG
RNAcentral lists this ribosomal RNA (118 nucleotides) under Latris lineata (striped trumpeter). RNAcentral's name for it is "partial 16S ribosomal RNA". The record is from RNAcentral. Lineage: Eukaryota; Metazoa; Chordata; Actinopteri; Centrarchiformes; Latridae.